UAUGACUGCGCAUCGCAUGGUGUGUGGUGGAAAGAUUUUUGGUGGAGGAUGGACUCGCGGCCUAUCAGCUUGUUGGUGAGGUAGUGGCUCACCAAGGCUUUGACGGGUAGCCGGCCUGAGAGGGUGACCGGCCACACUGGGACUGAGACACGGCCCAGACUCCUACGGGAGGCAGCAGUGGGGAAUAUUGCACAAUGGGCGAAAGCCUGAUGCAGCGACGCCGCGUGAGGGAUGACGGCCUUCGGGUUGUAAACCUCUUUCACCAGGGACGAAGCUUUUUGUGACGGUACCUGGAGAAGAAGCACCGGCUAACUACGUGC
RNAcentral lists this ribosomal RNA (320 nucleotides) under uncultured Acidimicrobium sp. RNAcentral's name for it is "bacterial SSU rRNA". It matches the Rfam family "Bacterial small subunit ribosomal RNA", at positions 173 to 508 of the family's 1533-position model. The record is from RNAcentral. Lineage: Bacteria; Bacillati; Actinomycetota; Acidimicrobiia; Acidimicrobiales; Acidimicrobiaceae.